Molecule: long non-coding RNA, 1178 nt
Organism: Mastomys coucha (southern multimammate mouse)
Lineage: Eukaryota; Metazoa; Chordata; Mammalia; Rodentia; Muridae
Exons: 4
Source: RefSeq, a predicted model, not a curated record
CUACCGAGAGGAGUUCAACGUGUCUUAAAGACAGUGGUUGCUGUGGCUGCGGUUAGGGAUGUUUUCACAAUCCCAGUUUCUGUUUCUUGAGCACUUACGGUGAAGUAAAGCGUUAAGAGCUUUUUGCGGGCGCUAUCUACUUAAUUUUGUUUUUUCCAAAUACAUUUUUAAAGGAGGAGCUAGCAGGGACUCAAUAUUUGAGCAUAUGUCCAUGUAAAUAUGGGUGAAAAAACGUUCGGCUUUGACCAUUAUUAGACACAGGGUUUGCCAAACCAUUGUGUAAGUAAACUCUAGAAUUAUUUUCCCAAAGCCGUCACUCUUAAGGUUUCCAGAAAUCCCUUUUGUUCUAGGAAUUCAUAAAUUUAUGACGGUCUUUCACUUUAGGGUGCCAUGAAAUCAUGGUCCCUUCAUGUCUGUCCCAAGACCCUGGACCAUCUAUCUCAAACCCAUCUUGAAAAUCUUGGAUAAUCUCCCGUCUCAAGAUCCUUAAUGAGACCUUCAAGGACUCUUUCCAAAUAAGUUCUCUCCUGGGAAUCUUAUUUGCUCUCUGCCUUAGGAAGUGCCUCGCUGUUAACCUGUAUUGUCCCGGUGACACAGCCUCUGCCGGCUUCCAGUUUUUGAUAUUCCAUAUGAGGCAAAGGUGAAGACUAGUGCCGUAUCUCAUCACAGUGGAGCAAGCUCAUCAGCCAACAUCUAGCAAACAAAAACAGGAGGAUCGCGAGCUGGAGGCUGGCCUGGGCUGCAUACAGAGAUAAAACAAAACAAAACAAAACAGAACAGCAGCUUCUCUUACUUGUCUCUCAAUGUGCAGCCACCAUUCAGCCCAAUCAGCUUUUCCUCGAAGACCCCAAGUGACUCCCAUGGCAUUCUUCUCUCCCAGCACCGGUGACCUGUUAUCCUGAUUAGUAUAGGUUUAAAGUCAGUCUCCAUAGUGCACGGGCUGCUUAUGUGCUUCAUGAGCACCUUGGCAACUUUUCAGAUUGGGGAAAGCACAUAGAGGCUGGAGUCAUGUUAUCAGUCAUUUACCAUCAUUUAAAUGGUAUUGCAUCUGGAUUUGUUUGUUUUGUUGUUGUUGUUUUGGUUUGGUUUGGUUUUGCAUGUGGAAUAUCAAAUGGCUUUGGGGAGAAUAGAUACCUUCACCAUAUUAAACCAUCCACUUACAGGAUAGUACAUGUCUA